This 48-nucleotide non-coding RNA is filed under the name Methylomicrobium album. RNAcentral's name for it is "Guanidine-II sequence". It matches the Rfam family "Guanidine-II riboswitch aptamer (mini-ykkC)". Rfam says of the family: Simpler in structure and has fewer highly conserved nucleotide positions than the ykkC-yxkD leader. RNAcentral also lists the same sequence under 1 other name. Lineage: Bacteria; Pseudomonadati; Pseudomonadota; Gammaproteobacteria; Methylococcales; Methylococcaceae. The record is from RNAcentral.
GCACCGGGACGGCCCGGCGCGCAGCAAUCUUUCGGCGGGACGGCCCGC